GCGCCGAUGGUCUAGUGGCUAUGAUUCGGCCUUGCCAAGGCCGCGACCCGGGUUCAAAUCCCGGUCGGCGCA
This 72-nucleotide transfer RNA is filed under the name archaeon. RNAcentral's name for it is "tRNA-Gly". It matches the Rfam family "tRNA". From Rfam's summary of the family: Transfer RNA (tRNA) molecules are approximately 80 nucleotides in length. Their secondary structure includes four short double-helical elements and three loops (D, anti-codon, and T loops). The record is from RNAcentral. RNAcentral also lists the same sequence under 3 other names.